This 510-nucleotide ribosomal RNA is filed under the name uncultured bacterium. Its description in RNAcentral is "partial 16S ribosomal RNA". It matches the Rfam family "Bacterial small subunit ribosomal RNA", at positions 28 to 507 of the family's 1533-position model. The record is from RNAcentral.
GACGAACGCUGGCGGCGUGCUUAACACAUGCAAGUCGAACGAAGAGCGCUGGAUGCUUGCUUCUAUCAAUCUUAGUGGCGAACGGGUGAGUAACGCGUAAUCAACCUGUCCUUUAGAGGGGGACAACAGUUGGAAACGACUGCUAAUACUGCAUACGACCUAAUCUUGGCAUCGAGGAUAGAUGUAAGGUGGUCUCUACAUGUAAGCUAUCACUGCAGGUGGUGAUUGCGUCUGAUUAGCUAGUUGGAGGGGUAACGGCGCACCAAGGCGAGGAUCAGUAGCCGGUCUGAGAGGAUGAGCGGCCACAUUGGGACUGAGACACGGCCCAGACUCCUACGGGAGGCAGCAGUGGGGAAUCGUCCGCAAUGGACGAAAGUCUGACGGAGCAACGCCGCGUGAGUGAUGACGGCCUUCGGGUUGUGAAGCUCUGUUAAUCGGGACGAAAGGCCUUCUUGCGAAUAGGGAGAAGGAUUGACGGUACCGGAAAAGAAAGCCACGGCUAACUACGUG